UUGACCUCGGAUCAGGUAGGAAUACCCGCUGAACUUAAGCAGAUC
Molecule: ribosomal RNA, 45 nt
Filed under: fungal sp. M-jx
Lineage: Eukaryota; Fungi
Description: partial 28S ribosomal RNA
Source: RNAcentral